RNAcentral lists this ribosomal RNA (200 nucleotides) under uncultured bacterium. Its description in RNAcentral is "partial 16S ribosomal RNA". It matches the Rfam family "Bacterial small subunit ribosomal RNA", at positions 30 to 228 of the family's 1533-position model. The record is from RNAcentral.
AUUGAACGCUGGCGGAAUGCUUUACACAUGCAAGUCGAACGGCAGCACGGGAGCUUGCUCCUGGUGGCGAGUGGCGAACGGGUGAGUAAUACAUCGGAACGUACCCAGUUAUGAGGGAUAACUAACCGAAAGGUUAGCUAAUACCGCAUACGCCCUGAGGGGGAAAGCGGGGGACCGUAAGGCCUCGCGUAAUUGGAGCG